ACAGCCCAGCGCAUAAUCUCCCGGGCUACCCAGCCUGCGGCGACAUGUUGCGUAAAGGGAAAGGUCGUUUUCAAGCCCUGUACUUUCAUAGCCGAAUUUUUGGCUUGAAUAACCACUGUAUUCUAACGGAUACUCCGGCUCCACAGAGGGUGUCAGACCCGUGAGGCUAUGUGGUGAAAAAUGUACAUGGGUUCGGCUUCUUCCCUGUGAGUCGCGUUGCUUAAUAAUGCAGCGCUAAGCAGGUCGUAAAUUCGACCUAAGGCUAAAUAUAUUCACAGAACCGAUAGUAAACAAGUACCGAAAGGGAAAGUUGAAAAGGACUCUGAAGAGAGAGUUAAAAGACCGUGAAACCGAUUCAGAGUAUAAGGCAAUGGCAUUUCUGAAAGGCUUGGAGCUCACCUUGCCCCGAUUGAUGGUUUCGGCUAAUGGUGGAUGGUACUCUGGAGAAACAGCAAAGUGUGAGUAAGUGGCAUUUGGUUGAUACCACGUCUACGGAAACUUGCGGGUCUCUGACAGUGAGUACAGGGGAAGUGACCAUGAGGCACGGAACCGAGGCUGGGCUUAUGCAAGCGUUUCAUUACACUCCAGAGUCAAGGGCUUAAACACAGCCCACCGCAACUCUUUGCGGGGUCACCAUGAGUUUUGCAUUUUGGAGAGAGAGAGAGAGAGAUAUGACACUUUGCGUGUUUGCACCAUUGCUGGUUACGAUGGCUCUUGUGUGGAUCAGCACGCAUUCGCUCUCUUUUCUCCCUCUCUAUGUGAAGUCAUGCUUGUGGCUAUGAUCCCUGCGAAGGUUGUUUCUCACCUGCCGAAUUCCCGCACAAGGCUCUGUUUUCUCGGGGUGCCAUCUCUCGUGGGGGCCACCUGGUCUAUCCCGGUUCCGGCUGGGAAUUUGGCAGACCGGUGAUUUACUCAGAGCCAUCGCUCACGUCUCGAAACACGGGCCAAGGAGUAUAGCAUAUGCGCAAGUCUAAGGGACUAAAAUCCUGGAGGCGAAGUAAGAGCAAAGGUGUGUGUGUCUUAAUGGCAUGCAGCCUGCUUAGUAACGCAAUUCCUUCUGGGAUGAAUGCGUCAAGCGUGCUUAAACUGGGUUGAUCCUUGGCGACGAUGGCAUAUACGUCGUUGCCUAUACAAGGCGCAAACCCCGGGCUCUCGAAUAAGGGGGAUCCCUUUCGAGUAGCACCGAGUAGCGUGUAUGCUAUUACCCGAAAGAUAGUGAACUAUGCCUGGCGA
Molecule: ribosomal RNA, 1233 nt
Filed under: Acanthonotozomopsis pushkini
Lineage: Eukaryota; Metazoa; Arthropoda; Malacostraca; Amphipoda; Vicmusiidae
Description: partial 28S ribosomal RNA
Rfam family: Eukaryotic large subunit ribosomal RNA
Source: RNAcentral